Molecule: long non-coding RNA, 849 nt
Organism: Nasonia vitripennis (jewel wasp)
Lineage: Eukaryota; Metazoa; Arthropoda; Insecta; Hymenoptera; Pteromalidae
Exons: 3
Source: RefSeq, a predicted model, not a curated record
CAGGAGUUGUACAUGUUUUUUGGUGGGAUAUUUCACAAAUUAGAACAUUUUUACUAUUGUUUUUGUUGAAUGUGCUAUGAAAACGGGUUUCAGGCUCCAUAUUUUAUGCGCCACAUUGGAUUUUUGAAAAGGCCAGAACUUUUUCAAAAGCCAGACGAUCAUUUUGAGACCUCAAACGUCUUGUUAGGUUAACCCAAAUUUUGGGUGCACUGAUGGUCCGGUUGACGUGAAACGUCCCAUAUGUAUACGGAAAUUUCGAUACAGAUAUAGUCGAAAACUGCCGCCACGGUUCUCGAGGAGGCUGUUCACCGUCGUCCUUCAUCGAAGGAAGCUGCCCAGCCGGUCCAGGGAGAAGGCUCAGCUAAUCGACUACUUCUGGACAUUGAGUUUUUUAAUGUUUUCUCAUAAUAUCUGCUCAUACAAUUCAUCCCGUCACUCAUACUUCUUCUCUCAUACUUUUUAUCAUUCUCUCUCUCUCUCUCUCUCUCUCUCUCUCUCUCUCUCUCUCUCUUUAUUCAUUCCAUUAAAUAUAUAUACCUAUAUUAAUAAUUUUUAAUUUUUACUAAUUCUCUCUGCCACUUUCUGUUUUCGAGCCCAUCUUCGACUCUACAUUAGGAUCAACCACUGGUUACAACCCUUACUGUACCUGGGAAAUAUAGAGCUUGCUGAAAACAAUAGCUGCGGGGGUUCCAGUUAUUAAGAAGUGAGAAAAGUCAUAAUGUCUUGUUUUUUUGCAAAGGCAAAAUUUUUGAAGUAUCUAUGCAAAAUUCCAACUAUGCAGCCGUAGUAGAAAGCACAUAAUAUGCAUGUGAAAGAUUUUUUUAAUAAAACUGCAUACUUGUGAUGAAA